Long non-coding RNA from Seriola aureovittata, 768 nucleotides. RefSeq lists it as uncharacterized. The record is from RefSeq and is a predicted model, not a curated record. The transcript has 3 exons. Lineage: Eukaryota; Metazoa; Chordata; Actinopteri; Carangiformes; Carangidae.
GGGGCAAGUAGUGCCACCCCUGCUAUCUAGAAAACCAUAGAAGAAGUUGGUCAUGUGACCACAUAUUUUUGAAGAGGCGUCUAUUUCACUCAUCCUGCAGAGGGGAGACACAUGGCUUAAGAGUUUUAGACCAAAAUCCAUCAUGCCACGUGAAUACAAACGGAAGACAGAGAGGGUUACAACUCCUCCAGUAGCUCAGAAGAGAGUGACUGAAACCGGUCUGUUGUUUUUUAGAAAACACAGAUACAGGAGUUCACUGCAGCCUGAGAGCUGAAUGUGCUUCAUGGAGAAGAUUAAAAUCUGGGCUUGGAGCCGAACAGUCUUCUCCUGGGAUACUUCACUCAUUUCCUCAACACAAGGAAGUCACAAAUAAAACACACUCUUCCUCCUGUACACAACCCUUGGGUCCCACAGGUUUAUACCAGUGAAUACCUGGGGAGGAGGAAACACACACACACACACACACAUGACACAUGCUUUACUUUCUUGUAAUAUAAAUGUGUGAUAUAUUUAACAGUUUGUCAGAGCAUUCAAACAUAUUUCACAGUCUUCAUUCAGCAAACUGAUCCUGCUCAGGUGUCAUUACAAAAUGCUCUCUGGUGUCAGACUUGGCGGCAAGCAUAUGUGGUCCGGUCUUACAGAGUGGCUCAACAUCAGUUCUGAUGUCUGGCCCCCCAAGCAGAGGUUACAGAUGUGAUCUGGGAUUUUCAUGAAUACUUAGAAGACACUCUCUAGUAGGUAACUCUGCUGUACUGAUGUUUACAACUU